Molecule: ribosomal RNA, 253 nt
Filed under: uncultured bacterium
Lineage: Bacteria
Description: partial 16S ribosomal RNA
Rfam family: Bacterial small subunit ribosomal RNA
Source: RNAcentral
UACGUAGGGUGCGAGCGUUAAUCGGAAUUACUGGGCGUAAAGCGUGCGCAGGCGGUUCGCCAAGUCAGGUGUGAAAUCCCCGGGCUUAACCUGGGAAUUGCGCUUGAAACUAGCGGGCUUGAGUGUGGCAGAGGGAGGUAGAAUUCCACGUGUAGCAGUGAAAUGCGUAGAGAUGUGGAGGAAUACCGAUGGCGAAGGCAGCCUCCUGGGCCAACACUGACGCUCAUGCACGAAAGCGUGGGGAGCAAACAGG